Molecule: ribosomal RNA, 1348 nt
Filed under: Salmonella enterica subsp. enterica serovar Mbandaka
Lineage: Bacteria; Pseudomonadati; Pseudomonadota; Gammaproteobacteria; Enterobacterales; Enterobacteriaceae
Description: partial 23S ribosomal RNA
Rfam family: Bacterial large subunit ribosomal RNA
Source: RNAcentral
GGGUUGUGAGGUUAAGCGACUAAGCGUACACGGUGGAUGCCCUGGCAGUCAGAGGCGAUGAAGGGCGUGCUAAUCUGCGAUAAGCGCCGGUAAGGUGAUAUGAACCGUUAUAACCGGCGAUACCCGAAUGGGGAAACCCAGUGUGACUCGUCACACUAUCAUUAACUGAAUCCAUAGGUUAAUGAGGCGAACCGGGGGAACUGAAACAUCUAAGUACCCCGAGGAAAAGAAAUCAACCGAGAUUCCCCCAGUAGCGGCGAGCGAACGGGGAGGAGCCCAGAGCCUGAAUCAGCAUGUGUGUUAGUGGAAGCGUCUGGAAAGGCGCGCGAUACAGGGUGACAGCCCCGUACACAAAAGCGCAUGUGCUGUGAGCUCGAUGAGUAGGGCGGGACACGUGGUAUCCUGUCUGAAUAUGGGGGGACCAUCCUCCAAGGCUAAAUACUCCUGACUGACCGAUAGUGAACCAGUACCGUGAGGGAAAGGCGAAAAGAACCCCGGCGAGGGGAGUGAAAAAGAACCUGAAACCGUGUACGUACAAGCAGUGGGAGCACAGGUUUACCUGUGUGACUGCGUACCUUUUGUAUAAUGGGUCAGCGACUUAUAUUCUGUAGCAAGGUUAACCGUAUAGGGGAGCCGUAGGGAAACCGAGUCUUAACCGGGCGUUAAGUUGCAGGGUAUAGACCCGAAACCCGGUGAUCUAGCCAUGGGCAGGUUGAAGGUUGGGUAACACUAACUGGAGGACCGAACCGACUAAUGUUGAAAAAUUAGCGGAUGACCUGUGGCUGGGGGUGAAAGGCCAAUCAAACCGGGAGAUAGCUGGUUCUCCCCGAAAGCUAUUUAGGUAGCGCCUCGUGAAUUCAUCUCCGGGGGUAGAGCACUGUUUCGGCUAGGGGGCCAUCCCGGCUUACCAACCCGAUGCAAACUGCGAAUACCGGAGAAUGUUAUCACGGGAGACACACGGCGGGUGCUAACGUCCGUCGUGAAGAGGGAAACAACCCAGACCGCCAGCUAAGGUCCCAAAGUCAUGGUUAAGUGGGAAACGAUGUGGGAAGGCCCAGACAGCCAGGAUGUUGGCUUAGAAGCAGCCAUCAUUUAAAGAAAGCGUAAUAGCUCACUGGUCGAGUCGGCCUGCGCGGAAGAUGUAACGGGGCUAAACCAUGCACCGAAGCUGCGGCAGCGACGCUGUGCGUUGUUGGGUAGGGGAGCGUUCUGUAAGCCUGUGAAGGUGGCCUGUGAGGGUUGCUGGAGGUAUCAGAAGUGCGAAUGCUGACAUAAGUAACGAUAAAGCGGGUGAAAAGCCCGCUCGCCGGAAGACCAAGGGUUCCUGUCCAACGUUAAUCGGGGCAGG